AUAGUUAAAGCGCUUAAUUCCAUUUUGGAAAUGGGGGACCCAAUUUUUUUUGGGGUGAAUCAUAUCUUCAAUGUUACUAAUAUAAAGGAUGGAGGUAUGUAGGGUUACUCUUUCAACCCGAACCCGACAGCUAACCUCGUAAGCGUAGAAGGAGGAAGA
This 159-nucleotide small RNA is filed under the name Selenihalanaerobacter shriftii. Its description in RNAcentral is "c-di-AMP sequence". It matches the Rfam family "c-di-AMP riboswitch aptamer (ydaO/yuaA leader)". Rfam says of the family: This family represents a conserved RNA structure found upstream of the ydaO and yuaA genes in Bacillus subtilis and related genes in other bacteria. The ydaO/yuaA element is thought to act as a genetic "off" switch for the ydaO and yuaA genes in its native state. The record is from RNAcentral. Lineage: Bacteria; Bacillati; Bacillota; Clostridia; Halanaerobiales; Halobacteroidaceae.